GUGCAGCAGGCGAGAAACUUCACACUGUGCGAAAGCACGAUGAGGGAAUCCCAAGUGCUUGCACGUAAGUGUAAGCUGUUUCUCUGUUUAAAACGCAGAGAGAGUAAGGGCUGGGUAAGACGGGUGCCAGCCGCCGCGGUAAUACCUGCAGCUCAAGUGGUGACCGUUAUUAUUGGGCCUAAAACGUCCGUAGCCGGUUUAAUAAAUGCCUGGGUAAAUCGUGUAGCUUAACUAUACGAAUUCCGGGUAGACUGUUAAACUCGAGACCGGGAGAAGUUAGAGGUACUCCUGGGGUAGAGGUGAAAUUCUGUAAUCCUAGGGGGACCACCAGUGGCGAAGGCGUCUAACUAGAACGGGUCUGACGGUGAGGGACGAAGCCCUGGGGCGCAAACGGGAUUAGAUACUCGGUAG
Molecule: ribosomal RNA, 411 nt
Filed under: uncultured microorganism
Description: bacterial SSU rRNA
Rfam family: Archaeal small subunit ribosomal RNA
Source: RNAcentral